Molecule: ribosomal RNA, 406 nt
Filed under: uncultured bacterium
Lineage: Bacteria
Description: partial 16S ribosomal RNA
Rfam family: Bacterial small subunit ribosomal RNA
Source: RNAcentral
AUUGAACGCUGGCGGCAGGCCUAACACAUGCAAGUCGAACGAGUGGCGGACGGGUGAGUAAUGUCUGGGAAACUGCCUGAUGGAGGGGGAUAACUACUGGAAACGGUAGCUAAUACCGCAUACCAUCGGAUGUGCCCAGAUGGGAUUAGCUAGUAGGUGGGGUAACGGCUCACCUAGGCGACGAUCCCUAACUGGUCUGAGAGGAUGACCAGCCACACGGGAACUGAGAAACGGUCCAGACUCCGACGGGAGGCAGCAGUGGGGAAUAGUGCACAAUGUGCGCAAGCCGGAUGCAGCCAUGCCGCGUGUAUGAAGAAGGCCUUCGGGUUGUAAAGUACUUUUGGCAGAGAAGCGUUAUUUGCAGAAGAAGCACCGGCUAACUACGUGCCAGCCGCCGCGGUAAUUC